Molecule: unclassified non-coding RNA, 585 nt
Filed under: Hevea brasiliensis (rubber tree)
Lineage: Eukaryota; Viridiplantae; Streptophyta; Magnoliopsida; Malpighiales; Euphorbiaceae
Source: RNAcentral
UUGGGAUUGUAGCUGCAAAGGAUGGCAACUAAAUGGGUUGCCCUGCUGCCAUGCAAUUGCUGUCUUUGAAUGCAUUGGUAGGAAUCCAUAUGAUUAUUGCUCCAGAUACUUCACCAUCGAGAGUUACCGGUCAACCUAUGCCGAGUCGAUUCACCCUGUACCAAAUGUUGACAGGCCAAUUCAGGGUGAAUCAAGUGACGCGGGAGUUAUUGUUACUCCUCCACCAACUAAGCGCCCACCUGGCAGGCCGAAGAUGAAGCAGGCCGAAUCUAUCGACAUAAUUAAGCGUCAACUUCAGUGUAGUAAGUGCAAGGGCCUUGGCCAUAAUAAGAAGACAUGCAAAGGUUCAUAGCUUAGAUGAUUAGGCUUUGUAGGUAGGUAUCUAGUCGUCACUGAUAUCCUGCUUUGUAACUUUAAACAAUUUUGAUUGGCGGUGUAGGCUUGUGUUUCUGUGCAUGGAUGAUUUUUAGCAAGCAUCACACUCUGCAUACCUUGUUUAUGUAUUUUAGGUGCUAGGCUAAGCAUCCAAUUAGUUGUUAGUGAAACUAAUUGUUCAGCUAUGACAUUGCAAUUUUUAUUCGUGCG